GCCAGGGUGGCGGAAUCCGGUAUCGCGUGCGCCUGGAAAUUACUUCCCUGUAAGCGUAUGGCCUCACGGCCUUUAGGGUUCAAAUCCCUACCCUGGCG
This 98-nucleotide transfer RNA is filed under the name mine drainage metagenome. RNAcentral's name for it is "tRNA-Ser". It matches the Rfam family "tRNA". Rfam says of the family: Transfer RNA (tRNA) molecules are approximately 80 nucleotides in length. Their secondary structure includes four short double-helical elements and three loops (D, anti-codon, and T loops). Further hydrogen bonds mediate the characteristic L-shaped molecular structure. tRNAs have two regions of fundamental functional importance: the anti-codon, which is responsible for specific mRNA codon recognition, and the 3' end, to which the tRNAs corresponding amino acid is attached (by aminoacyl-tRNA synthetases). tRNAs cope with the degeneracy of the genetic code in two manners: having more than one tRNA (with a specific anti-codon) for a particular amino acid; and 'wobble' base-pairing, i.e. permitting non-standard base-pairing at the 3rd anti-codon position. The record is from RNAcentral.